AAAAUGGGGACGUCGGGAGCAUUCUCUGGACAGCAGGAGAUGCAUGUCGACAGGCUGGCCCUGCCUCUUCCCACCCCAGAGUGAUGCAGCGGUGUCCUGGACCCCUGGGGAGAGGUGACCCCCCAGCAGGAAGCUGGGCCUCGUUUCUGUCCCUCCACAGCCACAAGGCCUGGCCAGGACGCUGGGAGCACCACGCCCUGGAGACUCAGCUCACCAAGGACUCAGGGGUGGCGGCUCCCCUGGCACCUGGGAAGCUGGGCCCCCCGGCCCCCUGGACUCCCACCCAGACACCAUCUCAACCCAGGCACUUCCCCCUGGGCCAGAGGGCAGCCUGGCAGCCCUGGACUCCAGGAGGGCCGAGUCUGGGGAACUGGAGGACGUCACAUUCCACUCUUGAUGAUGCCGCCCCAGUACUACAAUCUGGACAGCAGGAGAAGCUGCCCAUUUCCUCCAUCUCCGGUCCCUGGAGGUUCCUCGGAUCCUUUUGGGGAGACCAUGGGCCCUAAACGAUCUUCAUAACAAAACUGAGAAGUGGCCUGGCUUCUUCACUGUGCUCAUGUGUGCUCGGAUCCAGCGUGGCCCGACUGGGCAGCUCCUUUCCUUCCCUGACGCUGCUCCAGGGGAAAGAAGGGCCAGGGUCAAUCUGGGGUGCCCCAGGUGGAUCAGCGAAUGCCCCUGAAGCCAGGUGCCAGUUGCAUCCCCGUCAGAUGCCCCCACCCCAGUCUCCUGAGCCUCAUUAGUCACCCCUCAUUUUCCUCUGGGGACCCCAGGCCCCAGCUCCUGUCUGGUUAGAGGCUGAAGGGGUCUGAGCGACACCUACCCUAGGGGACCUCCGGAGGGGUCUUGGUGUCCUCUGACUUCUGUCCUCAGAAGGGAGCUCAGAAUGCAGCUGAGGCUUCCCCUGGGGCCCAGGGUGUCUGUGUCCGAGCCACAGCCAGAGUGUGCCCUGGAGAGCCGCUGGGAUGCACGGUGGGCUCUCGUCAUCCUGUCCCCACUCCAGGCUCAGGCUGGAGCCGUGAUGGCACCGCUGCACUCCAACCUGGGCAACAGAGUGAGACCCUGUCUCUAUAAAAUAAAAACAAAAAUAAAGAAGA
Molecule: long non-coding RNA, 1094 nt
Filed under: Pongo abelii (Sumatran orangutan)
Lineage: Eukaryota; Metazoa; Chordata; Mammalia; Primates; Hominidae
Description: lincRNA
Source: RNAcentral